AGCAAUGUGGCUUAGUAGAAAGAGCACGGAUUGGGAAUCAGAGGACAUGGGUUCUAAUCCCACCUCUGCCA
RNAcentral lists this transfer RNA (71 nucleotides) under Ornithorhynchus anatinus (platypus). It matches the Rfam family "tRNA". Rfam says of the family: Transfer RNA (tRNA) molecules are approximately 80 nucleotides in length. The record is from Rfam by way of RNAcentral. Lineage: Eukaryota; Metazoa; Chordata; Mammalia; Monotremata; Ornithorhynchidae.